Molecule: ribosomal RNA, 322 nt
Filed under: uncultured eukaryote
Lineage: Eukaryota
Description: partial 18S ribosomal RNA
Rfam family: Eukaryotic small subunit ribosomal RNA
Source: RNAcentral
CCCUUAGAUGUUCUGGGCCGCACGCGUGCUACACUGAGUGGAUCAGCGGGUCAGGUUGCGCGAAAGCGUUUCCUAAUCUUUAAAUCCGCUCGUGAUGGGGAUUGACGGUUGCAAUUUUCUGUCAUGAACGAGGAAUACCUUGUAAGCGCGGGUCAUCAUCCCGCGCUGAAUACGUCCCUGCCCUUUGUACACACCGCCCGUCGCUCCUACCGAUUGAGUGGUCCGGUGAGGCUUUGGGAUCUGAGCGGAAAGAGCGUUUCGCUGUUUCUGCUCGGAAAACUCAGUCGAACCUUAUCAUUUAGAGGAAGGAGAAGUCGUAGCA